RNAcentral lists this ribosomal RNA (1146 nucleotides) under Triticum aestivum (bread wheat). Its description in RNAcentral is "partial small subunit ribosomal RNA". Lineage: Eukaryota; Viridiplantae; Streptophyta; Magnoliopsida; Poales; Poaceae. The record is from RNAcentral.
AUGAAGUUUGAAAGUUUUGAGGAGGUUGUUGCUCACUACGAGCUAUAUGCACUUAGAAAUGGAUUUGGGACAAGGAUAGAGUACACAAGAACACUGAAGGACAACAUAGUGAGCAGAGCACUCCUGGUGUGUGGGAAAGGCGGCAAGCCAAAGAAGAAGGAGGAGGAGGUGCAGGAUGUACUGAACCCAGAAGGCAUCAUGAAGAAGAGAAAAAGGCGUAAGGUUAAGAGGACUGAGUGUCCAGCCCACCUUUACCUUAUGCACAAGGAUGUGUGGUGGAGAGUCGAACGCUUUGGUGACAACCACAACCAUCCACUAAUAAGUGAUGCUGAGAAUGUACCAUACACAACACAGGACCUUGCAAAUCAGCGAGCCAAAUUUCGCAAGGAGUACCGUAAUGCAGAUGUGGGGAGCACAAUUGCAUACUUUGAGGAGCUCAGGGCAAAGGAUCUAGAUUUCUAUUGGAGAAUGAAACUUGAUGAUGAAGACAGGGUGGAAAACGUGUUCUGGAUAGAUGGUACAUCACGUAGGGCAUAAGCAAAAUACAACGACAUUGUGUCAUUCGACACAACGUACAUGACUAAUAUGUAAAAGAUAUUGUGUUCCCCCUUGAUUGGCAUUAACAACCACGGGCAAUCAAUCCAAUUCGGUUGUGGUUUCGUUCGAAACGAACUGACUGACAACUUUGUGUGGCUGUUUAACACAUUCUUGCAUGCGAUGGGUGGAGUUGCACCAAAGAACAUAAUCACAAAUCAAGACUUUGCCAUGAGGAAUGCUAUUGACGAGGUGUUCAUCGGGAUAGUACACAGAAACUGCAGAUGGCACAUUAUGAAGAAAGCACAGGAGAAGCUUGGGAGGUUAAUGGCCGAUGAUGAACCACUGAACAAAGCAUUCAAAGAUUGUGUUGACAACAGCUUGAAUGUUGAGGAGUUUGAGGGAAAAUGGUGGAAGAUGCUGGACGAUCAUGGGCAAACGGACAACGAGCAUUUCCACUGGCUGUGGGAAAACAGGGAAUGCUGGGUCUCGGUGUACUACAUGCAUGACUUCUUCCCAUUCUUGCAGACAACGGCAAGGAGCGAGGGAUUCAACGAUGUGUUGAAGAAGUACGUCAACCCAAAUAACUCGCUAGUGGAAUUUGCAAAAUAG